AAUCCUGCAGCCGAUCAGCUCUCUCCUUAGCAGUAGGUGUCAGUAUGGUGAGUGGUAAUUACAACAGAGAGUUUUGGAGGACACACGAUAAUUAGGACAGCUAACAAAAACAUAAACACUGACAUUUACCAUACUUAAAGCCAGAAAUGUUGUCUGCUGUGUCUGUACAUUGUUUCAGACCAUGACAAUAGAGCCAUAAUUAGUUCAAUCAUGCUUCUAAGGAACAAAGACUUUCAGAUUUUGGAUAUGCAGCGCAGUGUUUGAGCAGGGGGAAAGGCAGAAAGGGGGGAGUGAUCUGUGGUGAGCUGGGAGAGCUGGGUUCCCUUCCAAGGCUGCUGCAGGGAUGGUGCUGAGUGAGUGCCAGGGAAUCGCUGUGUCUGUCAGCACAGCUCCCCAGCCACAGGGACAGCAGCGCUCACCCUGCUAAGGUGCUGCCCGUAUUAACGCGUUUUUAAGGUCUUUUUAAGCGCUUGGAGAUUGUCUGUAAGGAAGGGUGAUGGAAAUUCAGUACUAUUGAGGGAAGAGACCAUCUGUUUCACAUCUCAUUAAGAACUAUAUCCUGUUUCUGCUCUGUGGCCCAGCAAGGCCUGAAAACAAGGAGCUGUGUUUAAACAAUACUUCCUCAGUUAAACUACAGCAUAUAUAAAUUGAAUUCAGUUUUGCUCCCAAUGACCCACUUUCUCUGCUCACAGAAGUUCUUCAAAAGGGUUCUCACCAUGCAGGGUGCUUGCAUUGUAACCCUCUGGGGAGCUGUGCAUCAGUGUGCAAGGACAACGUGGGGGAAGAGGCAUGCAGGAAAGGAACCUUUAAAAGUUCUGUUUGCAGUGUUACUUUCUGAAUACUGAGCCGACGACCAAUGCUCCAAGCACUCAGUCUCCCUGGUCCUAGAGUGGAAGGCAUUCUGUGGACUGACUGCACAGCCAUUGAGCUAAAGGGGAGACAGGAACAAAUCCAAGGUGAGUCAGUUUGCCAUGGCUGCAAUGGGUCUGCAACAAAUAGGGUUUCGUGACUGG
Molecule: long non-coding RNA, 1013 nt
Organism: Junco hyemalis (dark-eyed junco)
Lineage: Eukaryota; Metazoa; Chordata; Aves; Passeriformes; Passerellidae
Source: Ensembl